GCCAGGGUCCACGAUCUGCUUGUUCUGGGUUGCCCUGAGCGUUUGGGCAAUCAUAUACGGGGAUGCUCCCGUAAAGCUCAGCUCAUUGGCUAUCUAGCUAGCUUUGUUUGACAAAUAUACAAUCGAUCAAAUGAAGACCGGUCGCAUCAUCGGCAUGCCAUGAAGGCAUCGCUCUCUGACCAAAUUUGGUGUCCUAUAGGAUAUAUUACACCCCUAAUGAUAUAGUGAAGUCUGGUUACGUUCUAGGAUCUCUGAGGAAUACAUACGGAUGUGAUUUGACUGGUUGAAACAACCUUUAGGGAUAUAUUUUCACAGAUUCCUUUCUUUGCAAAUUGAACGAGUGGAAAUACAAAAUCGAUCGUGCAUGCUAUAUGGACCUUUUUAGGGUAUGAAAAAGGAUUUUAUCUAACAAAAUGACACGUCAUGUUAUCUCUGGGACCGUUUUGGAUGAUAAAUCAGAGCAAGAUUUCAGAAUAGGACGUGAGCCCUAGGACCAUGCCUCAGGACUACCUGGCCUGAUGACUCCUUGCUGUCCCCAGUCUAUCUGGUCAUGCUGCUGCUCCAGUUUCAACUGUUCUGCCUGCGGCUAUGGAACCCUGACCUGUUCACCAGAUGUGCUACCUGUCCCAGACCUGCUGUUUUCAACUCUCUAGAGACAGCAGGAGCAGUAGAGAUACUCUGAAUGAUUGGCUAUGAAAAGCCAACUGAAAUUUACUCCUGAGGUGCUGACCUGUUGCACCCUCUACAACCACUGUGAUUAUUAUUAUUAUUUGACCCUGCUGAUCAUCUAUGAACAUUUGAACAUUUUGGCCAUGUUCUGUUAUAAUCUCCACCCAGCACAGCCAGAAGAGGACUGGCCACCCCUCAUAGCCUGGUUCCUCUCUAGGUUUCUUCCUAGGUUCUGGCCUUUCUAGGGACUUUUUCCUAGCCACCAUGCUUCUACACCUGCAUUGCUUGCUGUUUGGGGUUUUGGGCUGGGUUUCUGUACAGCACUUUGUGACAUCAGCUGAUGUAAGAAGGGCUUUAUAAAUACAUUUGAUUGAUUGAUUGAUUGACUUUAUAUCCAACAACUGAUGGCCUUUCUUAAAAUAGGUCAACCCUGGCCACCAGAGGAAUAUUUUAAACAUGCAAAUUCAAGGAUUACUUUUGUUCAGUUGGUCUGUAACAAAAUGUUGUGUGCCAAUAUUGCAUUGAUGCAUCCUUGACCAGGCUACUUGCUAAUCCCAAGUGUUUGCCUAUCCGUUUCAUACACAUUAAUGUGCUUCCACAGUAAAGAAGAUGUAGGAGGAUUAUACAACAUUACACUGAGUGUACAAAACAUUAAGAACACCUUUCUUACAUCCAGUUGCACCCACCCCUUUUUGCCCUCAGAACAACCUCAAUUUGUUGGGGCAUGGACUCUAUAAGGUGUCAAGCGUUCCACCGGGAUGCUGUCCCAUGUUGACGCCAAAGUUUCCCACAGUUGUCAAGUUCGCUGGAUGUCCUUCGGGUGGUGGACCAUUCUUGAUACUCAUGGAAAACUGUUGAGCGUGAAAAACCCAGCAGCGUUGCAGUUCUUUACACAAACCAUUGCGCCUGGCACCUUCUACCAUACCCCGUUCAAAGGAACUUAAAUAUUUUGUCCUGCCCAUUCACCCUCUGAAUGGCAAACAUUCACAGUCCAUUUCUCAAUUGUCUCAAGGCUUAAAAAUCCAUCUUAAACCUGUUUACCGCCCCUUCGUCUACACUGAUUGAAGUGACAUCAACAAGGGAUCACAGCUUUCAUCUGGUCAGUCUAUGUCAUGGAAAGAGCAGGAGUUCAUAAUGUUUUGUACAUUCAGUUCAUUCAUGCUCGAUCCUCCUCUGCUCCUCAUCAUUCUCUUUUGAUAACCUCCUAUUCAACCCUCAUCAGUUUCACUUCUCUCCUUUCUCAAUUAAUAUAAAGGUGUUCUCUUCCACCUCUAUGCUACACUGGUCUUUCGGUCAGAACUGGAGCUGCAACCACCGCUGCCACUCUAGGUAUAAUUCCACCCUCACUCUACAGCAACUAGGUCGCUGGUCAUGCUCUGUCUACACUUCACAUUGUAGACCCAAUCUAUUUGCCAUAAUCUCUACCAUAGGUAACAUAUAUACUUCAUUUAGUGAGGUUCUAACUACACUCAUGCAUAUAGCUGUGGCGGUCAUUCAUUAUUACACCCGGCAUUUGGUCAGACACUCUUUGGCAUGUUUCCCUAUCGCUUUGUAUUACCGAAUGCCUGACUGGUUCGAAGCAAAGAAACAUCUCAUAUCUUACAAAUCACAUUACAGCAUGCAUGGUUGUGUUCUACGCUCAAUUAGCGUUUCAUGUCAAUCAUACAUAUCACAUUAUGGCAUGCGUCGCUGGGUAGAUGUACACGCAGACGUCUCAUUCCACCGAAAUACAUUAAACUAUUUUUAAUUCUGCGCUCAGCGUGCCUUGCAUUAAUAAACAUUCCAUAUCAUAGCCUAAUUUCCAUUACAGCAUAAUUGCACUUUUGUUCUAUUCUUUUCCUUAAUCUCUUACAUCUAAUUAUGAUUAUCAUCGAUCUUUAGAUCCAACCAUUGUGUCCCUGGUGAGUAACUUAUUUAUUUUGGGGGGUUUGAUGCCAACUGCCCAGCAUAGAGCAAUCUGUCAUCAGCAACUGGAUCCGAGGAGCAUUCCUCAGAGACAAGGCAUCCCCAAAAACGAUUCAAUAAAAUUCCAUGUUGCAUUCUGUCUCUGUUGUCAUUCAGUUAGGUCUGUACCCGAUUGAAAUGUAGUCUACGAAAGUUCAAUCAGUAAGGCUCGUCUGAAUGGCUUGUCACUUUCACAUUUAUUUAGUAAGCACAAUAUAAUUCACAUCGCUUCCUAUCACACAGGCAUAGCAGGUAUUCAUAUGUAGCAUUUAUAAUGUUACCUCAUUAGCAUAGCAGGUAUUUAUAUGGUAGUGUUUAUAAUGUCACCUUGUCAGCAUAGCAGGUAUUUAUAUGGUAGUGUUAUUAAUGUCACCUCGUCAGCAUAGCGUCACGUCUCUCCUCCUUCACUAUUAGCAAGCCCGCGGAAUAUCAUUCACCUAUUAACUUCAGCCUAUGAGCAUGGCAAACUAAGGCAAUUCCACCACGCUUCCUGAAUAACCUAUGGGCUUACUCAUGCUAUAAUCAAUUUCCGUUCUUUCAACCAAUGAGCAUAAACCUAGGGGAGUAUUUAAUGUCAUCUCUCACUUGCUAUUUUGCAGCAACGGUCUUCCAACGACCAUGCACCUCCCCCCACUACCUCCCCCCACCGACUACCCCAAACUAUUCAAUAAAAUUCCAUGUUGCA
This is a long non-coding RNA of Salvelinus fontinalis (brook trout), 3298 nucleotides long. RefSeq lists it as uncharacterized. Lineage: Eukaryota; Metazoa; Chordata; Actinopteri; Salmoniformes; Salmonidae. The record is from RefSeq and is a predicted model, not a curated record. The transcript has 2 exons.